AGGCUGAAGAAUUGUCUCACAUCUGCAACACAUUGGAUUUACAAACAGGCUGAAGCAUUCUUAUCAAUCAUAAGAAGAUAGCAUUUUGGAAAAAGAGAAGAGGUCAAGCUAGCUAGAUACUUAAACGAAUGAACACAUGAUGCAAUCAAUUGUUAUCCUUCUAAAGGCAACGUUAAGAGCAAUAACAGUAUUGUCUCUCCAAUCCAAUAUGAAACCAAAGUAAGACAUUCUAUGCUAUGCAAAAAUAACUGUAAUUUAUUUGCUCCCAUCGAUGCACUGAUUGAAUAAUCAACAUGGGUAGUUAAGCAUGAAAAAUAAAUAAACUUACAUAUUCAAGAAUACUGUUACUUCAGUUUUUUCACCUUUUACUCUUGUAGAAGUUUUAAUGCACGGAUACAGAAAUCAAUAAUAAUUCCAUUUCGAUGCACUGGAGAAAGCUGGGAUACCAGCAACUGAAGAAGUCAAUGAGAAACUUUUCAGCAACUUAUAUUAUUGUAGCAAAUUCAACUACGAUUGAAAGUUUAUCCAUUAAAAAUGUAAGCCAUAGAAACUUUGAUGCAAGCUAUGUUUGUUGCGAGGAAGGUCCACAGUUUGCACUGAAACUGAAUCAUAAAAAGUUUUCCUCUGCAUUCCCCAAAAACAGAGAGUUUAAUCUGUAGUGAUUGCACCACAUUGAGAUGAUCCAUACAUGCGAAGUCCUUAUUAUUUUAACUCAACUCAAUUAAGACUUUAUCCAAAAAAUUUGGGGUCGAUUAUAUAGAUUCGCUUUAAACGAUUUUAUAAAUAUAGAAUGCUUUUAGGUCAUGUUCUAGUUGU
This 816-nucleotide unclassified non-coding RNA is filed under the name Hevea brasiliensis (rubber tree). Lineage: Eukaryota; Viridiplantae; Streptophyta; Magnoliopsida; Malpighiales; Euphorbiaceae. The record is from RNAcentral.